RNAcentral lists this ribosomal RNA (534 nucleotides) under Cutaneotrichosporon jirovecii. RNAcentral's name for it is "eukaryotic LSU rRNA". It matches the Rfam family "Eukaryotic large subunit ribosomal RNA", at positions 113 to 638 of the family's 3401-position model. The record is from RNAcentral. Lineage: Eukaryota; Fungi; Basidiomycota; Tremellomycetes; Trichosporonales; Trichosporonaceae.
UUUGUAAUCUGGCUGUCUUCGAUAGUCCGAGUUGUAAUCUAUAGACGUGUUUUCCGUGCUGGAUCGUAUCUAAGUCCCUUGGAACAGGGUAUCAAAGAGGGUGACAAUCCCGUGCUUGAUACGACGACCAGUGCUCUGUGAUACACGUUCUACGAGUCGAGUUGUUUGGGAAUGCAGCUCAAAAUGGGUGGUAAAUUCCAUCUAAAGCUAAAUAUUGGCGAGAGACCGAUAGCGAACAAGUACCGUGAGGGAAAGAUGAAAAGCACUUUGGAAAGAGAGUUAAACAGUACGUGAAAUUGUUGAAAGGGAAACGAUUGAAGUCAGUCGUGUUCUUCAGAUUCAGCUGGUUCUUCCAGUCUACUUCUGUUGAACGGGUCAACAUCAGUUUUGUCCGGUGGAUAAAGGUAGUAGGAAUGUGACUCCCCCGGGAGUGUUAUAGCCUAUUAUUGCAUACACUGGGUGAGACUGAGGACUGCAGCUCGCCUUUUGGCCGGUCUUCGGACACGUUCGAGCUUAGGAUGUUGACAUAAUAGG